GGUGAAUAAUGGAAAGAGUUUCAUUUAAAAAGAUAACAAAACUAGUACAUAAAUGGAGAGCUGAACUGGGGAAACAAAACUAAACCCAACUAUUCAAAACCCAGCAAACACUACGAAUACAGAAACGGAAAUCAACCAAUACUAAACUGGAUUAACAAAAGUAAACUAAGGAGGAGUACUCACAAGACGGAGAAAAAGGAGUCCAGAAGUGGGGAAGCAGAGUCCAUGAGGGAGCAGAGCGUGUGAAGCCAUGCGAGUCUUUGUGGGAAUCCAAGCCUGGAGAGAAGCAGGUGUCUAGUAGUUUAUGGUCAAACAGGCAAAGAGUCACUAAGCAGAGUUUAAAUAGUGAGCAGGUGAUAUUGAGGGCAGGUGAGCUGAUUACUGCAAUGUGAGUCACCUGCAGUAAUCAGCUGAGAGUGCAGACAGGUGAAGCAGGGAGAGCAAGAGACAGGAACGAGGAGAGAUGACAGACAGAGUCAAGUUGCUUCACCUGCCUGCACUCUAUUUGCUGAUUACUGUAAUGAGUGUCACCUGCAGUAAUUAGUUCACUCCAUUGACUGUUCUCUACCUCACCUCCAGUAUUUAAGCUCUGUGCUUCCAUUCACUCCUCGCCGGAUCAUCGGCUCACAUCUCUCCAUGGCUUCUGCUGCAUUCCUGGAUUGUGGGUUUCCCCACCAAGCCUUCUACUGCUUGUCAGCUUCAGCCUCUUGGACUCGACCGAUUUUGCUGUCCUGGAUUUCUCUCUUGUGGACUCUGUUCAACUCCUGUCUGUUUUUGGAUGCUCCCUGGUCUUCAGUCUGCCAAUUUUGUUUUUCCACUAGCUUCUGGGUUCUCCUAGCCUGCCUAGCCUUUAGCUCUGUUUUCCCAUGGUUGUUGUAAGUACAUUGCUGUGUUGUUUGGUUGAGGUUAUUCCUGUUUAGUUUUGUGGUUUUUGUAGGUUUGGUAGUGUAGUUUGUUUUAGUGUUGUGGUUUAGUUUGUCUGCUGGGGCUUCCGUUUCACGAAGCGGGUUCAACAAACUGUUUUUGGUUAAAUCAAGUCUGAGUAGUUUCCCCUGGAGUUAAGCACGUGCACCACAGCUCUGAAAAGCCAGUAUCAAUGGAGUGCCGAUUUGACGAGUCACCAUGGCAACGGGUAAGCAGAGGACGACACCGUUUGAAUUGGAAAUCUUAAUGCGCUUAUGUAGCGAGUUUGAACACGUUUUUAGAAAGAAGUGCAACACCGCUGCAGCUGCAAAUGAGAGGGAAACGGCGUGGGAGAGCCUUGCGGCCCGGGUCAAUGUGUAAAUUGAAACCACAAUAAUAUUGCAGGAGAAAAGUGUUUAAUGGUAAUCUGUUGUGUUAUUUCAUUUAGGUGCAAGAGGGAGACGGCCUGGGAGAGCAUUGCUGCCUGAGUCAAUGUGUGCAAUCCUGUGAGGGAGAAGUGCAUGUGGCAAACAGGUAAGAAGUAUUUAUCACUGGAUAGAGAAAUUCUGGCCAUUGCAUUACCUCCACUGUGUGUUUGUUGAGUCUUCUCCUCUACAGGCUGGGGACCUGGAACCUUUGACUGAAUUUUAAGUAACUAUACACUGGCUAUCUUUCUAUCUUUCUGUCUUUCUAUCUGUGGCACAGAUAGCUAGACAGCUAGCGGAGCUAACUAUGAUUGAUAAAGUUUUCUGCACAUCAUAUUUACUAACAAACACCAAAACCUGAACAAUAUAUACAAAUGCUAUGUGUUACAUUAAAUGUAUAAAUUGACUCACUUUGUGUGGCUAAUACCUUACAAAUAGUCUGUAAACCUUUAAUUGGUUUCAGAUGUGAACGUUUCACUAUACACUGCUAAAACUCUAUAUGCUAGUACAUUACCAAAGGAAGCAAUCAUUAUUAACACACAAAGAUGUGAUUUAAUAUUAUAUAUUUAUUUGUUGUCUUUAACCCACUUCUCAUAGGUUGGCCUAACAACAAAAUAAACCCUAUCCUUUCAUCAAGAUCUUGUUACUACAGAAAAGUACAACUUCAUCCUGUGACAUCCAUGUACAACUCCAUACUUUAAUUUCCUCUAUAUAUUUUCAGUUAUCACUAACACAAAUUGACAAACCACUUACUCAAAAUCAAUCACACACCACAAAUAAAUAUAUGCAAUACUUCAACCACCAUAUUACAAGGCCACAUCUACAAAUGUAAACAUUGCAACACAACUUAGACAUGGCUGCAUGUUCACACUUGAACUAUGUAAACUAUCGGAAAAACAAACUAAACUAGCUCUUUCAUUUGUAUGAAAUAAAGAAAAAGGAUGCACUAUGUGUCAUGCAAAAGUUAAGUUAUUCUUCUUGCUAUACUUCUGUUUUUCUGUCCCCCGACUGCUAUUGUUUUCUUUAAUGCAAUUCUGACAAUAAACUUUUGUACCUUUUGCAGAUGUGUCUGUGCUAUUGUUUUAUUUGUGAAGGUUAGCAAGACUACAUGACAAAUUAAACACCAAAACAUUAAAACAGCUGUUUUAAGAAUAUUCCAGUUUGAUUAAAUCAGUAUUGCAGGAGUUUGUGUUAAAACAUGUUAAAUCCCAUUAAACAUAAGUGCAUUAUUAGUGUGACAGGAGGUCGUCUCCCUCCUGGCCGCUGUUGGACGCCGUGCCAGCGGUGCGAGCACCGUAAUUGCUGGGCGGUACUAUGCGCCCUUUAUAUUAAGGUGUGCAGCGGUGGAGCUUCCUGUCCUCCGCUCCCUGCUUGCUUCCGUGGUGGCUGUGGUUUGGCAUGACGGCGUUGGUGGACGCAGCCGUUCUCUGGUGUAUCCAGCUGUUCUGAUUGCUGUCAAGGCAUGCUGUCUGAAUACCGUGGCUGAGUGCUGGGGUGAAUUCCCCGGGGUGAAGCGGGGAUCUGCUGGAGCCCUGCUGGGCAUAGGAUCACAGGCUCGCUCUGGGUGUGUGUGGGU
Molecule: long non-coding RNA, 2904 nt
Organism: Amphiprion ocellaris (clown anemonefish)
Lineage: Eukaryota; Metazoa; Chordata; Actinopteri; Pomacentridae
Source: Ensembl